Molecule: non-coding RNA, 448 nt
Filed under: Pan troglodytes (chimpanzee)
Lineage: Eukaryota; Metazoa; Chordata; Mammalia; Primates; Hominidae
Source: RNAcentral
GAUGCGCGCCAGCCAACCAGGCCAAGGCCAGGGGACCUCGAGACCGGCAGCCUCGACGAAGAACCGGAAGGAGGAAGAGGAACGGGAAGGAGGAAGAUGAGAUGCGCCUACUUCUCCCUGGAGAAGCUCGAGGAAGCAGAAAUGCUGGAGAUGAGACCCAGCACACCCUGCCUGCAUGGCGCUGUGCUGCACCUUCACUCUGGUCACGGGUCUGGCAGUCGGCUCACCAAUUCCUCCCGCUUCCCUGGGACUCGCCGGCUUUUAGCACUGCAAUUCACUCAGCAAACUGGGACUGUUGGUCACCCUACCUGGCAGCCAGUGAUAAGGGCUGGUGUCGUUGGCAUGACAGACCUGCCUUGGCUGAGCGUUCACCCGUCUUUGGAGUUCAGCCACCUUAGCAAGUCCUGGGUUUGUUCUUCAGACUUUGCUGCUCGCCCAUUGCCUGGAU